RNAcentral lists this ribosomal RNA (234 nucleotides) under Vibrio parahaemolyticus. RNAcentral describes it as "partial 23S ribosomal RNA". It matches the Rfam family "Bacterial large subunit ribosomal RNA", at positions 1 to 230 of the family's 2925-position model. Lineage: Bacteria; Pseudomonadati; Pseudomonadota; Gammaproteobacteria; Vibrionales; Vibrionaceae. The record is from RNAcentral.
GUUGUAUGGUUAAGUGACUAAGCGUACACGGUGGAUGCCUUGGCAGUCAGAGGCGAUGAAAGACGUAGUAACUUGCGAUAAGCCCAGAUUAGGUAGUAACAACCAUUUGAGUCUGGGAUUUCUGAAUGGGGAAACCCACGUGCAUAAGCACGUAUCGUUAUGUGAAUACAUAGCAUAACGAGGCGAACCGGGGGAACUGAAACAUCUAAGUACCCCGAGGAAAAGAAAUCAACC